RNAcentral lists this long non-coding RNA (546 nucleotides) under Homo sapiens (human). RNAcentral describes it as "non-protein coding lnc-MYCN-13:1". The record is from RNAcentral. Lineage: Eukaryota; Metazoa; Chordata; Mammalia; Primates; Hominidae.
AUGACCCCUGUGUGCCGAGAUGCUCCUCUGAAAGCCCUUCCAGGCCAGUGCACAGCUCUAUUGGCCUCCUUCCAGGCCAGAGGCUGACACUCAACCUAAAGAGGGACUGGGAAAGGGACUGGAGCUGGGGAGGUGUUGGCCAGGGAGGCUUCAGAGGAUGUGGGCUACAGAGUCUGGUAACAGAAGGUCUCGAUCUGCUUUUAAUUAAUUAAUUAAUUAACUCAUUAUUUGUCUGAGCAGAACUCAAGACUUGGAGACAGAAAACCAUGGUGUGACCUACAGCUCUGCUACUAUCAUAUCUUUUGACAAUGUGCGCCAGGCAUGGUGGCGUUCGCCUGUUGUUCCAGCUACUCAGGAGGCUGAGUCAGAGAAUCACUUGAGCCCAGGAGAUUGAAGCUGCAGUGAGUUAUGACCACACCACUGUGCUACAGCCUGGGUAGCAGAGUGAGACUCUAAAAAAAAAAGAGGCCCGGUGUGGUGACUCAUGCCUGUAAUCCCAAGCCUCUGCAGUGCUCUGUUGAGCCAGAUUCUUCCCAGAGUCCCUGA